UACGGAGGGUGCAAGCAUUAAUCGGAAUUAUUGGGCGUAAAGGGCGCGUAGGCGGGGAUGAAAGUCAGAUGUGAAAUCCCGGGGCUCAACCUCGGAACAGCAUUUGAAACUUUAUUUCUUGAGGGUAGGCGGAGAAAACGGAAUUCCACAAGUAGCGGUGAAAUGCGUAGAUAUGUGGAAGAACACCGGUGGCGAAGGCGGUUUUCUAGCUUACUCCUGACGCUGAUGCGCGAAAGCAAGGGGAUCAAACAGG
RNAcentral lists this ribosomal RNA (253 nucleotides) under uncultured bacterium. Its description in RNAcentral is "partial 16S ribosomal RNA". It matches the Rfam family "Bacterial small subunit ribosomal RNA", at positions 524 to 776 of the family's 1533-position model. The record is from RNAcentral.